This 253-nucleotide ribosomal RNA is filed under the name uncultured bacterium. RNAcentral describes it as "partial 16S ribosomal RNA". It matches the Rfam family "Bacterial small subunit ribosomal RNA", at positions 524 to 776 of the family's 1533-position model. The record is from RNAcentral.
UACAGAGGGGGCAAGCGUUGUUCGGAAUUACUGGGCGUAAAGGGCGCGUAGGCGGCCGCCUAAGUCAGACGUGAAAUCCCUCGGCUCAACCGGGGAACUGCGUCUGAUACUGGGCGGCUUGAAUUCGGGAGAGGAAUGCGGAAUUCCAGGUGUAGCGGUGAAAUGCGUAGAUAUCUGGAGGAACACCGGUGGCGAAGGCGGCAUUCUGGACCGACAUUGACGCUGAGGCGCGAAAGCUAGGGGAGCGAACGGG